Molecule: long non-coding RNA, 570 nt
Filed under: Danio rerio (zebrafish)
Lineage: Eukaryota; Metazoa; Chordata; Actinopteri; Cypriniformes; Danionidae
Description: si:ch211-165f21.5 (ENSDARG00000092666.2)
Source: RNAcentral
CGCGCGCGUGGAAGACGUUUUCCCGACUGGAUCUCGGCGUGAGGGGAUUGCGCUGAGCAGAACCAGUAAGAUGAGGAGCAGCAGGAAAACAGUCAAUCCCACAGAAACACCAACGACCAGAAGAGGAGAUGAAGAUGAAGCUGAGGAGAGAAGAUGACAGACCUGUUCAUCAACCACAUGCUGUAUGAUAAUAUUACAGAGAAAGCAGAAUGAAGGAGAGCUGAAGACCUCCAACUACAAGCUGAUAUGAGGAGCAGCUGAAUCUGAAUGAGCUUCAACACACUGAAGACUUCAGCAACUCAUUCAACAGCAGCAUCUAAAGCAGAAUGAAGAAGGAGAGCUGAAGACCUCCAACUACAAGCUGAUAUGAGGAGCAGCUGAAUCUGAAUGAGCUUCAACACACUGAAGACUUCAGCAACUCAUUUAACAGCAGCAUCUGCCUGCAUCAUUGUGAUCUAAUUUAAAGAUUGAAGAAACAUAUGGGAUGCAUUGAAACUUUUUCUCCCACUCCUACCUAAUCUAGCCGCUGUCUUUAUUUAAUUUUAUUUAUUAAUCAUUAAACCUCGAUAC